AACGCGAAGAACCUUACCAAGGCUUGACAUAUACCGGAAAAGUUCAGAAAUGUUCUCCCCGCAAGGUCGGUAUACAGGUGGUGCAUGGUUGUCGUCAGCUCGUGUCGUGAGAUGUUGGGUUAAGUCCCGCAACGAGCGCAACCCUCGUUCUAUGUUGCCAGCACGUAAUGGUGGGAACUCAUAGGAGACUGCCGGGGUCAACUCGGAGGAAGGUGGGGAUGACGUCAAAUCAUCAUGCCCCUUAUGUCUUGGGCUUCACGCAUGCUACAAUGGCCGAUACAAAGGGCUGCAAUACCGUAAGGUGGAGCGAAUCCCAAAAAGUCGGUCUCAGUUCGGAUUGAGGUCUGCAACUCGACCUCAUGAAGUCGGAGUCGCUAGUAAUCGCAGAUCAGCAACGCUGCGGUGAAUACGUUCCCGGGCCUUGUACACACCGAGACGUA
This 440-nucleotide ribosomal RNA is filed under the name uncultured bacterium. RNAcentral describes it as "bacterial SSU rRNA". It matches the Rfam family "Bacterial small subunit ribosomal RNA", at positions 958 to 1398 of the family's 1533-position model. The record is from RNAcentral.